AUUAUGCUGUUAGAUGGACAGCUUGGAUUAAAUUGUGAAGAAGGACGUGGCAAGCUGCGAUAAGCCUUAGGAAGCUGCAUGCAAGCUUUGAACUAAGGAUUUCCGAAUACGGCAACGUAUAUAUGCCGAGAGGCAGAUUCACGCUGGGAAUUGAAACAUCUUAGUACCAGUAGGAAAAGAAAACAUAUGUGAUACCCUUAGUAGCAGCGAGCGAAAAGGGUAUAGGGCAAGCCGAAUCUUUUCUUGAAAAAGAAAAGGGAUGUGGUGAGUAGUAUUUCCUAAAUUAGUAAUUUGAAAUGAGCUGGAAUGCUCUACAAAAUAAGGUGAUAGUCCUGUAAAUGAAGCUAAUAUGGUAGCUACUUAAAAGAGUAAGGUCUCCUGGAUUGGAGGCACGAAUAUUGCAAAAUUAAUUGCAAACCCUAAAUAUAAAUUUAAUUCCGAUAGUGAACUAGUACCGCGAGGGAAAGCUGAAAAGUACCCUUCACAGGGGGUUAAAAGACUCUAAAUCUAACAGCUACAUGUAGUUACGGCUCUUAGGAGUCGUAACGUGCGUUUUGAAGAACGAACCAGGGAGUUUAUUUAUAUGGCAAGACUAAUAGAAAGAAGUCGAAGCGAAAGCAAGUCUGAAAAGGCACAAGUCAUAUGGGUAAGACCCGAAGCCAAGUGAUCUAAUCCUGAGUAAGGUGAAGCUUUUCGAAAGGAAAGUGGAAGCCUGAACCGGUCCUGCGAGCAUGCGGUCGGAUGACUUGGGAUUAGAGGUGAAAGGCCACUCUAACUUGGCGAUGGCUGGUUCCUGCCGAAAUAUGCCGUAGUAUAGUCUCACUUUAAUUGCAUAAAAUGUAAAGUACGGAUAGAGCUCGCAGAGCUUAUUAGCUAACGGAGCUCUUUCCAACUCAGAAAUUAUAUGUUAUAAAAAGUGGGAAUCAGGGAAGGUGCGUAAGUACUUUUCCGAGACCCGAAAAAGGGAGACUGUGGUUAAGGUCCCAAAAUUCAUGCUAAGUGUAUCAAACCUUGUCGAGAACCUAAGACAGAAGGGAGGUAGGCUUAGAAGCAGCCAACCUUAAAAGAAAGCGUAACAGCUCACCUUUUGAGGUUCUUGGCGGAUAAAAUGGACGGGGCUAAGCAUGAUACCGAUACCACAGAGUAACUCAGAAGAGUUAUCUGGUAGGCAGGCGUUCUUUUUGCACAGAAGCAUUUCUGAGAAGAAAUGUGGAGCGAAAAGAAAUGAGAAUCCUGGUGAUAGUAGGAUCAGGCUCGUCUGAGAACCGACGAGCGUCGAAAGGGCACGGUUUCCCCGGCACUAAUGUUUAACCGGGGGUUAGUCGGCACCUAAGUCUUACCUUAACUGAGUAAGACGAAAGGACAGUAGGUUAAUAUUCCUACACCUCCUAUUCUUAUUAAGUAUAAAUCAGUUUCAAGAUAAGCAAAGCUGUGAAAGCAGUCUUGAUGAAGAAAACUAUUUAGCGUAAUGCAAAGAUAUAGUUGAAUUCAUUCGGCUUAAGUUUGUUGAAUCUAGGAAUCAAUGAAAAGUUUAUACUUAGAGAUAGGUGGCCGUACCAAGAUCUAACACCAGUGCCCUAGCUUAGAAGGCUAAGACGUGUAAGGAUAAACUAGUUAAGGGAAUUCGGCAAUUUAGCUUCGUACCUUCGGUACAAGAAGUGUCUAUGUCUGUAACUUGGAAAUAUCUAAGUAGCAGAUGUAGAUCGCAGUGACAAAGAUGGCCCGACUGUUUACCAAAAACGUAACCGAGUGCUAGGUUGAAAAGCUUUGUAUACUCGGUGAGACCUGCCCAGUGGUGGUGUCUAAAACUGCUUUACAAGGCAGCUAAGGCCCACUAAACGGCGGGAGUAACUAUGACUCUCUUAAGGUAGCGUAAUACCUUGUCGUCUGAAUGGCGACUUGCAUCAUUGGUUUAACGAGGUUGUCGCUGUCCCUAACUAGAGCCUUCCGAACUCACAGUCUGGUGAGAAAGCCAGAAACGCCUAGUGGGAAGCGAAGACCCUGUGGACCUUUACUGCAGCUUGCUGCUGUAGCUUUAUAAGAGAUGCUCAGAAUAAGUAGGAGCAUAGAUAUCUCAGCUCCGGCUGAGAUGGAGCAAAAGUGGAAUACUACUCAUCUCUAGUAGAGUUACUAACUCUUAGGAGGACAACAGUAGGUGGGCAGUUUGGCUGGGAUGGCACCCUACAGAAAAGAUAUCUGUAGGGCCCAUAAGACAAGCUCAUCCGGUUUGGAAAUCCGGAGCAGAGUGUAGAGGCAAAAGCUUGUCUGACUGUAUUUCAAACAGCAAGAAAUGCAGAGUUGAAAGACCGGCUCAUCGAACCAACCAUGGCUUUUAAUGGGCCAGGUUUAUGACAGAAAAGGUACCCCAGGGAUAACUGGCUUGUCGCACCCGAUAGUUCACAUUGACGGUGCGGAUUGGCACACCGCUGUCGGCUCUUCCUAUCCUGGCUGUGCACAAGCAGCCAAGGGUGUCGGAGUUCACGCAUUAAAAGGGAUCGUUAGCUGGGUUAAGAACGUCGUGAGACAGUUUGUAUGAUAUCUACUAGGUGUGUGUUGCCUGAGUGAAACGACCUUAUAGUACGAGAGGAACUAAGGUUGGGAGCCACUGGUCAAUCGGUUGUUAUUUAGCAGGCCGAGCAGCUACGCUCCAUAUGGAUAAGAGCUGAAAGCAUCUAAGCUCGAAGCCAUGCGCAAGACGAGGCAACAAAGGCCGUCAUAGAAGAUGACGUUGAUAGAGUCAGUGUGUAAGUACCAAGGCAACGAGGUAUUCAGCACGUGGCUACUAAAAGCCCCAUUACCAAAUUC
This 2805-nucleotide ribosomal RNA is filed under the name Candidatus Pacearchaeota archaeon. Its description in RNAcentral is "bacterial LSU rRNA". It matches the Rfam family "Archaeal large subunit ribosomal RNA". The record is from RNAcentral. Lineage: Archaea; Nanobdellati.